UGGCUCAGAACGAACGCUGCGGCGUGGAUGAGGCAUGCAAGUCGAACGGGAUCCAGCAGGUAGCAAUAUUUGCUGGUGAGAGUGGCGUAAGGGUGAGUAAUGCGUGGGUAAUCUACCUCUAGGAUCGGCAUAGCCCGGCGAAAGCUGGGAUAAUUCCGAAUGUUGUCGGCCGGUGCAUACCGGCCUGUCCAAAGCUGGGGACCGCAAGGCCUGGCACUUGGAGAUGAGCCCACGUCCUAUCAGCUAGUUGGUGAGGUAACGGCUCACCAAGGCUUACGGGUAGCUGGUCUGAGAGGACGAUCAGCCACACUGGGACUGAGACACUGCCCAGACUCCUACGGGAGGCUGCAGUCGAGAAUCUUUCGCAAUGGGCGCAAGCCUGACGAAGCGACGCCGCGUGUAGGAUGAAGGCCUUCGGGUUGUAAACUACUGUCUUUGGGGAGCAACGGCCGGGACGUUAAUACCGUACCGGAUUGAUAGUACUCAAGGAGGAAGCCACGCUAACUCUGUGCCAGCAGCCGCGGUAAUACAGAGGUGGCGAGCGUUGUUCGGAUUUACUGGGCGUAAAGGGUGCGUAGGCGGUUCUGCGUGUCGGAUGUGAAAUCUCACUGAAAACGGUGAAACUGCAUUCGAAACUGCAGGGCUAGAGUGCAGGAGAGGAUGGCGGAAUUCUCGGUGUAGCGGUGAAAUGCGUUGAUAUCGAGAGGAACGCCGGUGGCGAAGGCGGCCAUCUGGACUGCAACUGACGCUGAGGCACGAAAGCUAGGGGAGCAAACAGGAUUAGAUACCCUGGUAGUCCUAGCCGUAAACGGUGUGAACUUGGUGUGGGAGGAAUUAUCCCCUUCCGUGCCGUAGCUAACGCGAUAAGUUCACCGCCUGGGGAGUACGGCCGCAAGGCUAAAACUCAAAGGAAUUGACGGGGGCCCGCACAAGCGGUGGAGCAUGUGGCUUAAUUCGAUGCAACGCGAAUAACCUUACCUGGGCUUGACAUGUAACUGCAAGUCCGGUGAAAGCCGGACUCCUUCGAGGGUGUUACACAGGUGCUGCAUGGCUGUCGUCAGCUCGUGCCGUGAGGUGUUAGGUUAAGUCCUGCAACGAGCGCAACCCCUGUGAUUAGUUGCUAGUCGCGCAAGCGAAGCACUCUAGUCAGACUGCCUGUGAUAAGCAGGAGGAAGGUGGGGAUGACGUCAAGUCAGUAUGGUCCUUAUGCCCAGGGCUGCACACGUGCUACAAUGUAGGGUACAGAGGGAUGCGAAUCCGCGAGGUGGAGCAAAUCCCAUAAAACCCUACUCAGUUCAGAUUGGAGUCUGCAACUCGACUCCAUGAAGCUGGAAUCGCUAGUAAUGGCGCAUCAGCUACGGCGCCGUGAAUACGUUCCCGGGCCUUGUACACACCGCCCGUCACAUCAUGAAAGCCGAUUGCACCCGAAGUCGCUGUUUCAACCCGCAAGGGGGAUAGGUGCCUAAGGUGUGGUUGGUG
Molecule: ribosomal RNA, 1479 nt
Filed under: metagenome
Description: bacterial SSU rRNA
Rfam family: Bacterial small subunit ribosomal RNA
Source: RNAcentral